GCUCAGUCAGUUAAGGGUCCGACUCUUGAUUUCGGCUCAGGUCAUGAUCUUGAAGUUCGUGGGUUCAAGCCCCACACUGGGCU
RNAcentral lists this transfer RNA (83 nucleotides) under Felis catus (domestic cat). It matches the Rfam family "tRNA". From Rfam's summary of the family: Transfer RNA (tRNA) molecules are approximately 80 nucleotides in length. The record is from Rfam by way of RNAcentral. Lineage: Eukaryota; Metazoa; Chordata; Mammalia; Carnivora; Felidae.